Molecule: ribosomal RNA, 253 nt
Filed under: uncultured bacterium
Lineage: Bacteria
Description: partial 16S ribosomal RNA
Rfam family: Bacterial small subunit ribosomal RNA
Source: RNAcentral
UACGUAGGGUGCAGGCGUUAAUCGGAAUUACUGGGCGUAAAGCGUGCGCAGGCGGUCUUUUAAGUCAGAUGUGAAAUCCCCGGGCUUAACCUGGGAACUGCGUUUGAAACUGAAAGGCUAGAGUGUGGCAGAGGGGGGUGGAAUUCCACGUGUAGCAGUGAAAUGCGUAGAGAUGUGGAGGAACACCGAUGGCGAAGGCAGCCCCCUGGGCCAGCACUGACGCUCAUGCACGAAAGCGUGGGGAGCAAACAGG